AUGAAAGUACAUGCACUAAAAGAAGUAGUGGAAAAUAAUCAGCAAAACAGAUGUCAUUAGAGGCGAUGCUUUUUAUAUUUAUACAUGUAUCUAGACUAGUAGUGAAUUUGAAAAGUGCUGUAUUGAUUCAUGUGCAAAUAAGGAGCAGCAGCCAAUGAAACAUUGCAAAUGUGUGAUCAGAGAGGUCAUUUUUCCACAAAAACAAGCUAAUACAGUCAAUGGGCCUGAUGAAGUUGAGUUUUUUUGGACUUUUGGGAAAAAUGGAACAUAUAUAAGUGAAGAAAAGUAAAGAAAAGGGGAAAAUAUUACAGACACAGUACAUGGACACCAGCAUGAGCAAGUUAAGACAAGAAUCUGCCAUGGAAAGAAACUGUUAAAAGAAGAAAAAAAAAUGAAGA
Long non-coding RNA from Mytilus trossulus (common blue mussel), 398 nucleotides. RefSeq lists it as uncharacterized. The record is from RefSeq and is a predicted model, not a curated record. The transcript has 3 exons. NCBI's taxonomy places the organism in Eukaryota, Metazoa, Mollusca, Bivalvia, Mytilida, Mytilidae.